This is a long non-coding RNA of Phacochoerus africanus (Common warthog), 411 nucleotides long. RefSeq lists it as uncharacterized. The record is from RefSeq and is a predicted model, not a curated record. NCBI's taxonomy places the organism in Eukaryota, Metazoa, Chordata, Mammalia, Artiodactyla, Suidae. The transcript is spliced from 2 exons.
GGGGGACGGGGCGGGGCUAGUAGGGGCUGGGAGGGGGGCAUUCCCCGCCCCCAGCCGAGCCUGGGCAAAUCCCCUCGGACCAGCUCAGCGGCCCCGCCCCUGCCGGGGGCGGCGCUGGGAGGAGCUGCGUGUGCGGCGGGUCGGCGCUCCAGGGCUAAGGCCUCGGGAGAGUCUAGCUCAGGUUCUAGUUCCCGGGUAGUCUGAGGCCAGCUCUUGCCCUCCGGCUCCCGCUUCUCUCCCAUUGUGCCUGUCCUGGCUCACUGUCGGGACUGAGAUGGUGCCGCGUGCGCGCCAGGCUCGUGGGUCUGCCGCACCCUUCAGGCCCGCCGCACCCUCCAGGCUCGCAGCCCAGGGUUUCGUCAGAUUACGGCCUCCUCGCCCCUUCUGGGAAGGAGGCGCCUCAUGUCUGAA